This 253-nucleotide ribosomal RNA is filed under the name uncultured bacterium. RNAcentral describes it as "partial 16S ribosomal RNA". It matches the Rfam family "Bacterial small subunit ribosomal RNA", at positions 524 to 776 of the family's 1533-position model. The record is from RNAcentral.
UACGAAGGGGGCUAGCGUUGCUCGGAAUCACUGGGCGUAAAGCGCGCGUAGGCGGCUUGGCAAGUCGGGGGUGAAAGCCCGCAGCUCAACUGCGGAACUGCCUUCGAUACUGCCGGGCUUGAGGGCGGGAGGGGUGAUUGGAACUCCAGGUGUAGCGGUGAAAUGCGUAGAUAUCUGGAGGAACACCGGAGGCGAAGGCGAAUCACUGGACCGCAUCUGACGCUGAGGCGCGAAAGCUAGGGGAGCAAACAGG